RNAcentral lists this unclassified non-coding RNA (18 nucleotides) under Mus musculus (house mouse). RNAcentral's name for it is "oocyte_clustered_small_RNA4267". Lineage: Eukaryota; Metazoa; Chordata; Mammalia; Rodentia; Muridae. The record is from RNAcentral.
AAGCAGACGAGAGGCCAA